CAUCCAUCCACCGCCAAGGGCUGCUUGUUCCACAGUAGUCUAACUGAUUCGGAGAAGUAUCAAGAACCCAGUCUUCUAAAAGCAGGCAAAGUACACUUCAUGGACUCUGUGUACUUAAGAGAGACUAUUUUAUUCAUGCGCCACCUCCCGGGGCUUGGCUCAGACAUUAUUGUUCUCUUUCAGGAAGCCAGGGUCUAAGUAAAUCUCAUUGUCUGCCGUGGUGCUUGCAGUAGGAUAGUCCAGCUCAGACUCUGCUGGGCUGCUCAGAACCUGUCUGGGGCUUUCCUAGUUCUCCCUGGUACCUCACCCACCCUGUCAGGAGGAUUUAGGCUCUGACUACAGAAUCUCAGAACAAAACAGGGGAAAGUUUUAUCUUGAGUCUCAAGGAUAGACAUGAAGAGAUCACAAACACCAUCAAAAGUAACAAUCUGUUUUUCUUUUCUUUUCCUAGGGAAACUUGUGGCCAUUUGUUUUUUAUAAGCUCCAUGUCACACGCUAAGUUUGACUUGAGGCCCAAUGAUCACUCGCUCUGCUGCUUCAGGGGGCUGGGUGUUGUUCUGUCUCAGUAGCCACUGACCCCACCUUACUGACCAACAGUGGAAAAUGGCAAAGAGGGCUGUUCAGGGAGAAGGUUGGUAUUUACCUUAAUGCUGGAUCCUGCAGUGCCUUUCAAAGGGCUGUAAAGAAGAUUCAUGCCCAAGAAUCUCCAUCAGGGCACUCAGCCAAGCUGGGCCUUAGCGCCCAUCAGAAUGAUACAAAGGACACAAACCAACAGGAUAUACUUCUGCCACUACGACUGAGGCAAACCUAAAUGACAUGUGAGUUACAGACUGUGUGGGAGAAGACAUGUUCCCUCUAAUAGUUCUUCUGUUCUGAUGCCCUCAGACAUCUGCUGAAGCCAUGCACAGUGCCUGAUGGCAUGGUGGGUCCGUUCACGUAUGGAGACCAGAAAGCGAAAGAGAGAAAGGACAUUUUUCAAGCUUUUAAUGUCAUUUAAAUAAAUGUUUAAAACUGCUGGUAAAUCUUGUGACUGGCCAUGGUCGCAGCGUUGUAACAGAGGUGUGCAGAGAAAUCAUAUUUGUGGGGCUGGAGAGGUAGCAUAGUUGGUAAAGCACUUGUUGUGUAAGUAUGAGGACCAAAUUCAAUCUCCAGCAACUGUGUACAAAACAAGAUGUGGUGGAGAGCAAGAUGUGGUGGAG
RNAcentral lists this long non-coding RNA (1199 nucleotides) under Rattus norvegicus (Norway rat). RNAcentral's name for it is "long non-coding RNA NONRATT033544". Lineage: Eukaryota; Metazoa; Chordata; Mammalia; Rodentia; Muridae. The record is from RNAcentral.